RNAcentral lists this small RNA (99 nucleotides) under Marmota monax (woodchuck). Lineage: Eukaryota; Metazoa; Chordata; Mammalia; Rodentia; Sciuridae. The record is from RNAcentral.
GCUGGGUAAGGUGACCCAUGCCUGUAAUCUCAGCUACUCAGGAGGCUGAUGCAGGAGGAUUGCCAAAUUUGGGGGCAACUUGAUGAGACCCUGUCUCAA